This 272-nucleotide unclassified non-coding RNA is filed under the name uncultured Lactarius. RNAcentral describes it as "sequence contains ITS2". The record is from RNAcentral. Lineage: Eukaryota; Fungi; Basidiomycota; Agaricomycetes; Russulales; Russulaceae.
AAAUCUCAACCUUCUUGGUUUCUUCUGGACACCAAAGGAGGCUUGGACUUUGGAGGCCUUUGCUGGCGUCUCUCUUCUUUUGAAGGCCAGCUCCUCUUAAAUCGAUUAGCGGGGUCCUCUUUGCCGAUCCUUGACGUGUGAUAAGAUGUUUCCAUGUCUUGGCUUCUGGCUCUGUUGCCUUUGGGACCCGCUUCUAACCGUCUCAGCCUUGUGCAUCGAGACAACGUUUGAGCGUGUCUCCCUUCUCGGGAAACGCUCUCGACCCCACGAAC